GAUGAACGCUGGCGGCGUGCCUAAUACAUGCAAGUCGAGCGAACAGACGAGGAGCUUGAUCCUCUGACGUUAGCGGCGGACGGGUGAGUAACACGUGGAUAACCUACCUAUAAGACUGGGAUAACUUCGGGAAACCGGAGCUAAUACCGGAUAAUAUAUUGAACCGCAUGGUUCAAUAGUGAAAGACGGUUUUGCUGUCACUUAUAGAUGGAUCCGCGCCGCAUUAGCUAGUUGGUAAGGUAACGGCUUACCAAGGCAACGAUGCGUAGCCGACCUGAGAGGGUGAUCGGCCACACUGGAACUGAGACACGGUCCAGACUCCUACGGGAGGCAGCAGUAGGGAAUCUUCCGCAAUGGGCGAAAGCCUGACGGAGCAACGCCGCGUGAGUGAUGAAGGUCUUCGGAUCGUAAAACUCUGUUAUUAGGGAAGAACAAAUGUGUAAGUAACUAUACACGUCUUGACGGUACCUAAUCAGAAAGCCACGGCUAACUACGUG
RNAcentral lists this ribosomal RNA (497 nucleotides) under uncultured bacterium. RNAcentral's name for it is "partial 16S ribosomal RNA". It matches the Rfam family "Bacterial small subunit ribosomal RNA", at positions 28 to 507 of the family's 1533-position model. The record is from RNAcentral.